UCAAAAACAGCGGCCUUCGGGCCUCGCUGCACCCUUGUCUUUUUGCGCACCGUAUUGUUUUCCUCGGCGGGCUUGCCUGCCGGUUUGGACAUCAUAAAAACCUCUUUUGUAGUUUGCAAUCAGCGUCAGAAAAAAACAAUAAUUAUUAC
Molecule: unclassified non-coding RNA, 149 nt
Filed under: soil metagenome
Description: partial internal transcribed spacer 1
Source: RNAcentral